AUAACAUUCGGACCUUCGGUCUACUGAGAAAUUUCACCAGCUCGAUGGAAGAUCUUCCCUUUGCCUC
RNAcentral lists this microRNA precursor (67 nucleotides) under Bombyx mori (domestic silkworm). RNAcentral describes it as "mir-2774 microRNA precursor family". It matches the Rfam family "mir-2774 microRNA precursor family". The record is from Rfam by way of RNAcentral. Lineage: Eukaryota; Metazoa; Arthropoda; Insecta; Lepidoptera; Bombycidae.